UGGGGAAUAUUGCACAAUGGGCGAAAGCCUGAUGCAGCGACGCCGCGUGAGGGAUGACGGCCUUCGGGUUGUAAACCUCUUUCAGCAGGGACGAGGCGCAAGUGACGGUACCUGCAGAAGAAGCACCGGCUAACUACGUGCCAGCAGCCGCGGUAAUACGUAGGGUGCAAGCGUUGUCCGGAAUUACUGGGCGUAAAGAGUUCGUAGGCGGUUUGUCGCGUCGUUUGUGAAAACCAGCAGCUCAACUGCUGGCUUGCAGGCGAUACGGGCAGACUUGAGUACUGCAGGGGAGACUGGAAUUCCUGGUGUAGCGGUGAAAUGCGCAGAUAUCAGGAGGAACACCGGUGGCGAAGGCGGGUCUCUGGGCAGUAACUGACGCUGAGGAACGAAAGCGUGGGUAGCGAACAGG
This 409-nucleotide ribosomal RNA is filed under the name Brucella melitensis. Its description in RNAcentral is "partial 16S ribosomal RNA". It matches the Rfam family "Bacterial small subunit ribosomal RNA", at positions 355 to 776 of the family's 1533-position model. The record is from RNAcentral. Lineage: Bacteria; Pseudomonadati; Pseudomonadota; Alphaproteobacteria; Hyphomicrobiales; Brucellaceae. RNAcentral also lists the same sequence under 1 other name.